CCCAUUGGUUCGUCACGAAAAGACCACGCCUCCUCCUUCUCCCUUAAUACCCGCCCGCGCUGUGGUCGUCCAGACCGCGCGUGGAGCGCGCGGGGGUGCGAGCUGCGCGUUCUUCACGCGCCUCGGACGCGCGCCUUUCCUCGGAGCUGACGCUCCUUCCCGGUCAAUGCGGAGAGCCGUGCGGAAUUCUCCCGUGGCCGCUUGCCUUCACGCUUUUGGGCACUGUGACUCCGCGUUAGCUUGCGCACCAAAGGGCCGCAGACUCAGUUCUGCGUAGCCGCCUCCGUUCUCCGGUUCUGCGCCCCGCCGUAUCCCGGGUUUGCGCAGCGUUUUCGCCCGGCGGCGCUGGCCCUCUGCGCAGCGGCGCCCUGAACCUGGCGCACGCACUGGCGCGCCUCCGGCCCGUGCCGUGCACACGCCCUGUACCUCCCUACGGUGCACACUCGUACGUGCGCGGGACGCGGCCUAGAAGCUCGCUGCGCGCUCCUCGCGGCAUCCUCUUGGCCCCCUCCUUCGCUCAGAGGCUCCCCGGGGAUUGCUCUGACGCGAGUCAAACAAUCCCGGCUGCGAAGCAGCCCCCUGGGGAGGCCUGCUUUCCCCGCAGCUACUCCACCCCACAGCGAACGCAACCUGCCCACCCCAAGCCCUGGGCUGAGACUACACACCCCGCAUUUUCUUCCUGGCUCUGGGAAGCCCGCGGUGGUCCUCCAUUCCUUGGCUCCUCCUUGGUAUACAUUAUACAUAAUAAUCUGAGGGUGAUGGAUGAAAGGAGCCUAAUUCCUCUCCACCACCACUCCCGACCCUGAUGUUCUGGUAGAUCCGCGAUGCUUCUGAAAGUUGUCAGUGCCGUAAGAGGCCAUUCCCUGUCUAUGUGUUCCCGUCUGGAAGAAGAGACAACGCUCUAGUAGUACCUUCGAGAUGCAGUUUUGCUGCCGCCAGUGUCAUGUUUUGAAAUGUUUGUGGAGAAAAGGGACACAACAGACUUGCUGCUCUCGUUUCCCUUCAGGGUCCCGUGAGCUCUGUACACUCCUUUCUUCUUUCUAUUAUAUUUUAAGCCUUCUGGUCGUCAGAUUUACUUACUCUCCGAAGUCGGCUUCAAACGUCUGUUGUGUAUUUUUCAUCCUGCAAACCCAUAUCCCCUAGAAAGAUCUGAUGGCAGAUGUGGCUCUCACAGAGACUUCUGCCUUUUCUAUUCAGCAUUUUAUUGACUUCAGUUUAAUUCUUGACUGCUGAGAACCUGUAUCUUUUGUGUCUCAAAAGUCCAGAUAUUAUCACAUCAUCCAGGAAGGAGCACAAAUAGCAUCCAGCAGUUACACAGCGUGCACUAGGUAGAUUGCUAAAUCCAUGAGGAGCCCAGAGUCUGGGUGCAAACAACACUGUAAAACUUCAGUUAUUGGAAUAUUGAACCAAAAUGACGUCAUUUAGCAUUUGUCCUUGCCAUUCAUUGACUUUGUGACCAUGGCCUCUCCUCUCUUCCAGCUUUCUUUGUGAUCGUCCCCUCCCCUCGAGCUUACUUAGCCUGGCACAAUAAGGAUCUCUUCCUACCUUAGAUAUCCUAACACCACUAGAAAAGGUGGGCUGUAUCUUUUGGAAUGAAAAUUAGACUCAUAGUUUGGAAUAUGGACUUGUGGUGGUAGAAAGAUAUCUGAGGAAGAGGGGUGUACCUCAGAGGUAAAGUGUUGGCUGAGCAUGUUCAAAGCACUGGGAUCAUUCCCUGGUCCUGGUGUAUCUGAGCACACGCACACACACACACACACACAAUUUAAAAGCCUGGCAUAGUAGCACAUACCAGUAAUUUCAGUGCUG
Mus spicilegus (steppe mouse) is the source of this 1806-nucleotide long non-coding RNA. NCBI's taxonomy places the organism in Eukaryota, Metazoa, Chordata, Mammalia, Rodentia, Muridae. The record is from Ensembl.